RNAcentral lists this long non-coding RNA (1016 nucleotides) under Felis catus (domestic cat). Its description in RNAcentral is "lncRNA (ENSFCAG00000051955.1)". The record is from RNAcentral. Lineage: Eukaryota; Metazoa; Chordata; Mammalia; Carnivora; Felidae.
CGGCGCUGGCCGCCGGGCGGCGCCCCGCGCCUCGGCCGCGCUCCUCCCGCGCUGCCCGCUCCCCGCUCGCUCGCGGCCGGACACAGACUGCCUUCAGCUGCCGGCGGAUCGCGCUGGGGCCGCCGCGGCUGCUGCGGAAGCAGGGAAAACCGGAAAACAACAGCCCGGCGGCCCGGCCCCAGCUCAACCCCCGGAGUGCGGAGCCGCCCAGGCACCUGUCCUCGCGUUAGGGGAAAGAACGCUCUACCUCCUGCUGCUGGAGUCACCUGCCUCUGAUGCUGCACUCCUGCCGUCCCAGCCUCUUCUCUUGACCACUUGUUCAGUGUCUCAGCCUCUCUGCCGUCUGGGUGACGGGAGCACCCAGCCAAGACAAUCCGAAUUAAUUUUGCAAGUAAAAUUUCAUCAGACGACCUAUCAAGCGCUUCACUAAAUCAAGACAUAUUACAUCUCGUGUGUGCCCUGGGCCCAUUUAUCAUGAAAGUCAGCCCCCGAAAUGCCAGACGAGCUUAGGCCCGAAAGGAAGAACAUUCUUAUGUGAAGUGAGAGGGGUCUUCCUUGUCUCCAGACCCGUGACCCCAGAGGCCUUUCUCUGCUCUUUUGCCGAGAAGGCAUUGCUGGCGGUACUCGGGAUUCAGGGUUAGAUGGUCUGGGAACAGAACCCCUGCUUUGAUGCUUUCUAGCUCUGCAGCUCUGAGCAAGUUGCUCAACCUUUCUGAGCCUCAGUUUUCUUAACGCAUAAAAUGGAAAUAAUAUCUACCUUAGAGGGCUAUUACGAGAUUAAAUGAGACGAUGGGGCACCUGGGUGGCUCAGUUGGUUAAGCAUCCAACUUCAGCUCAGGUCACGAUCUCGCGGUCCAUGAGUUCGAGCCCCGCGUCGGGCUCUGGGCUGAUGGCUCAGAGCCUGGAGCGUGUUUCCGAUUCUGUGUCUCCCUCUCUCUCUGCCCCUCCCCCGUUCAUGCUCUGUCUCUCUCUGUCUCAAAAAUAAAAAAAUAAACGUUAAAAAAAAAUUAAAAAAA